GGCUUACCCACGUCAUAUUGUAUUAUCUUUUGCUGUGUACUGCUGCUAUGAGUUUGCUGCUAGGCUGUUGCUCUUUUACUCUACUGAACAAAUGCUGCAUUACUUUACUUUGUUGCUGAUAUGCUAUGAUGCCCCUUGUACUGUUGUGCUUCUAUAGGCAUUGGGGCUAUGCUUUGUGCUGCUGACUAGUAGUUGUUAGUUGGAUGGGAGGUUAUGCUAUCCACUACGCCGCACUCAUCUCUUGCUCUUCCACUACGCCGAUCACCAUCGCCGCCCAAAAAAAGGCACAGAAAGAGAUAGAAACUAGGAGUGGUUGGGUUGAGCAUGUGGACUUACAAUUUUAUUUUUUUGGCUCUGGUUUUCUGUUUCUUAUAAUUCUAGUGACAUCUUCAUUAAUUACUGAUUACAUCAUUUUCUGACUAGGGAAGUAGGUUCUUUACUCAAUUGCUUUUUAGGAUUCCUUAAAUUCAUGGUUUAUGGGGCCAAUAGAAGUGUUACAUUGCUGUCUAUGUAUAUAUAUAAUUUUUUGGGGGAGUAGAAUCUUAACCCUGCUUGCUUUCUUAUGUUAUGUGCAUCCAUAAUUCAUUAUUGCAGAUGCUAAGCACAGUACUUGUGCCCUCAUAAUCAUCUCAAUCAGAAGAUAUUUACCUUUUUGUGCUAUCUGGUGCUACUUAUGGAAGUGCUAUGGUUCAUCAUGUUGGUAUGUCAGUUCAAAUCUCUAGUAGCAAUUUACCUAUGCCACGAUUGAUUAUCGAAGCUCUUCUUACAGGCCUUUUUACAAACAAAUGGAUGUAGUCAUUUUUCAUGUAUCCUUUUUUAACACAAGACCUAUCACGAAUGAAUGAAGUAAGGCAUUAGUAUUAUUGAAGGAAAAGUAAAGCACCACCAAUUUGUUUGUGAGAUUUAAUUGGUUAUUUUCACUAGGGAACUCUGUUAGUUAACCUUAAUUUCUUAAUCACAUCUAUUUCAAUUAAA
Molecule: long non-coding RNA, 975 nt
Organism: Camellia sinensis
Lineage: Eukaryota; Viridiplantae; Streptophyta; Magnoliopsida; Ericales; Theaceae
Source: RefSeq, a predicted model, not a curated record